GGAAAGGGGGAUUUCCCGGUUAGGGGUGAAAAGGGUUGGGGAUGGGUGGGAACCCCAGUGGGGAAGGCGGCUUUUUGGACUGUAACUGACGCUGAGGCGCGAAAGCGGGAGGAGCAAACAGGAUUAGAUACCCUGGUAGUCCACGGCAGUAAACGAUGAUUACUAGUUGUUUGCGAUACACAGUAAGCGAUUGAGCGAAAGCAUUAAGUAAUCCACCUGGGGAGUACGUUCGCAAGAAUGAAACUCAAAGGAAUUGACGGGGGCCCGCACAAGCGGAGGAACAUGUGGUUUAAUUCGAUGAUACGCGGGGAACCUUACCUGGGCUUGAAAUGCAUUUGACCGGCACAGAGACGUGCCUUCUCUUCGGAGCAGAUGUGUAGGUGCUGCAUGGUUGUCGUCAGCUCGUGCCGUGAGGUGUCGGCUUAAGUGCCAUAACGAGCGCAACCCUUAUCGUUAGUUGCUAACAGGUCAUGCUGAGGACUCUAGCGAGACUGCCAUCGUAAGAUGUGAGGAAGGUGGGGAUGACGUCAAAUCAGCACGGCCCUUAUGUCCAGGGCGACACGCGUGUUACAAUGGGUGGUACAAAGGGCAGCUACCGGGCGACCGGGUGCUAAUCUCCAAAACCACUCUCAGUUCGGAUCGAAGUCUGCAACUCGACUUCGUGAAGCUGGAUUCGCUAGUAAUCGCGCAUCAGCCACGGCGCGGUGAAUACGUUCCCGGGCCUUGUACACACCGCCCGUCA
RNAcentral lists this ribosomal RNA (742 nucleotides) under uncultured bacterium. Its description in RNAcentral is "bacterial SSU rRNA". It matches the Rfam family "Bacterial small subunit ribosomal RNA", at positions 656 to 1399 of the family's 1533-position model. The record is from RNAcentral.